This 765-nucleotide ribosomal RNA is filed under the name uncultured Streptococcus sp. RNAcentral describes it as "bacterial SSU rRNA". It matches the Rfam family "Bacterial small subunit ribosomal RNA", at positions 28 to 776 of the family's 1533-position model. Lineage: Bacteria; Bacillati; Bacillota; Bacilli; Lactobacillales; Streptococcaceae. The record is from RNAcentral.
GAUGAACGCUGGCGGCGUGCCUAAUACAUGCAAGUAGAACGCUGAAGCUUGGUGCUUGCACCGAGCGGAUGAGUUGCGAACGGGUGAGUAACGCGUAGGUAACCUGCCUCUUAGCGGGGGAUAACUAUUGGAAACGAUAGCUAAUACCGCAUAAAAGACGAUAUCGCAUGAUAUUGAUUUGAAAGGUGCAAAUGCAUCACUAAGAGAUGGACCUGCGUUGUAUUAGCUAGUUGGUGAGGUAACGGCUCACCAAGGCAACGAUACAUAGCCGACUUGAGAGGGUGAUCGGCCACACUGGGACUGAGACACGGCCCAGACUCCUACGGGAGGCAGCAGUAGGGAAUCUUCGGCAAUGGGGGCAACCCUGACCGAGCAACGCCGCGUGAGUGAAGAAGGUUUUCGGAUCGUAAAGCUCUGUUGUAAGAGAAGAACGAGUGUGAGAGUGGAAAGUUCACACUGUGACGGUAACUUACCAGAAAGGGACGGCUAACUACGUGCCAGCAGCCGCGGUAAUACGUAGGUCCCGAGCGUUAUCCGGAUUUAUUGGGCGUAAAGCGAGCGCAGGCGGUUAGAUAAGUCUGAAGUUAAAGGCUGUGGCUUAACCAUAGUACGCUUUGGAAACUGUUUAACUUGAGUGCAGAAGGGGAGAGUGGAAUUCCAUGUGUAGCGGUGAAAUGCGUAGAUAUAUGGAGGAACACCGGUGGCGAAAGCGGCUCUCUGGUCUGUAACUGACGCUGAGGCUCGAAAGCGUGGGGAGCAAACAGG